CCUACGGGAGGCAGCAGUGGGGAAUAUUGGACAAUGGGCGCAAGCCUGAUCCAGCAAUGCCGCGUGAGUGAUGAAGGCCUUAGGGUCGUAAAGCUCUUUUACCAGGGAUGAUAAUGACAGUACCUGGAGAAUAAGCUCCGGCUAACUCCGUGCCAGCAGCCGCGGUAAUACGGAGGGAGCUAGCGUUGUUCGGAAUUACUGGGCGUAAAGCGUACGUAGGCGGUUAUUCAAGUCAGAGGUGAAAGCCCGGGGCUCAACCCCGGAACGGCCUUUGAAACUAGGUAGCUAGAAUCUUGGAGAGGUCAGUGGAAUUCCGAGUGUAGAGGUGAAAUUCGUAGAUAUUCGGAAGAACACCAGUGGCGAAGGCGACUGACUGGACAAGUAUUGACGCUGAGGUACGAAAGCGUGGGGAGCAAACAGGAUUAGAUACCCUGGUAGUCCACGCCGUAAACGAUGAUAACUAGCUGUCCGGGCACUUGGUGCCUGGGUGGCGCAGCUAACGCAUUAAGUUAUCCGCCUGGGGAGUACGGUCGCAAGAUUAAAACUCAAAAUGAAAUUGACGG
This 563-nucleotide ribosomal RNA is filed under the name uncultured bacterium. RNAcentral's name for it is "bacterial SSU rRNA". It matches the Rfam family "Bacterial small subunit ribosomal RNA", at positions 338 to 916 of the family's 1533-position model. The record is from RNAcentral.